Long non-coding RNA from Biomphalaria glabrata, 2236 nucleotides. RefSeq lists it as uncharacterized. The transcript is spliced from 2 exons. The record is from RefSeq and is a predicted model, not a curated record. Lineage: Eukaryota; Metazoa; Mollusca; Gastropoda; Planorbidae.
AAAGCCUUUUUAACCACCAAUGGGAUAAUGGCGCCUACGGCGCCGACGCCCUUCUGGACAACUAGAGCGUGACCUCACGGUCGAAGGCGCCGACUAGAGUCGCCGAUUUUGGGUUGUUUCGUUUACGCACGCACUGCUAGUUUUUAAAUAAUAACUAUUUAUACCUUUACUAACUCUGACCUAGAAGAGCGAUAGUGAAGCUAUCUUUAGAUGUUUAUCUAUAUCUCUACAGCAUGGAUUUUAAAGAUUUUUUGAAAAUUACUUUUUUUUGCUAGCCUUUAAAAUGGAACAUAUUUAGGCUUAUGUGUAGGCUUUAAUAGAAUAAGAUUCUAAUGGGAAUAUUAAUGUUUAUAUGGAUAUAAAUAAUGAUUGGGUCCUGCUGGUCGAGAUGCUUCUAGUUGUGUGAAAAAACUAGUAAUGUCAGAGGUUUCUUUACCCAAUAAGGCAAUUCAUCUGCAUAAGCAAGGUAUUGUAGAGGUUAGCUGUAUAUCGUCCCUGUUGGUUGUGGAACCAUAUUUUCUCUCCUGAAGUAUUUAAAAAGUUAGUAAUAUUUCCCCUCAAGUUUAUGUGUUUAUUUCUUAUAACUCUCCAGUGUCAAAUUGAAAAGCAUGCAAGUAAGUGAGUCACCUUGUCUUAAUCCUCUUUUAAUUUUAAAUUCCAGUGAGUGUUCUCCUUCUAUCAUGACUUUACUUUUUGAGUUAUUUAAAGUCAUAUGUAUAAGUCUUGUCAGUUUGUUAGGUAUUCAAAAAUUUUGUAGAGUGUCAUAUAGAUAUUUCCAUUUGAUACUGUCAUAGGCCAUUUUAUAAUCUAAAUAGAGUUGGUGGAUAGGUAUGCUGUAUUCAAGGCAUUUUUCUAGUAUACAUCUUAGUGUGAAGAUGUGAUCAGUUGUGGAUCUAUCUGAUCUGAAAUCAGAUUAGUAGUCACCUAAGAUUUCUUCUGAGUAUUUUCCAAGCCUCUUAGUUAUAAGCCUAGACAGGAUCUUAUAAGUCACAUUUAGUAGAGAGAUUCCUCUGUAAUUGCAGCACUUUAGCUUGGAUCCUUUUUUGUGUAUUGGGAUUAUAAGAGCUGUUUCCCAUUCUGUUGGUAUUACUUCUUCUUCCCAAAUUCUGGAUAUUAGUCUGUGUAUUUGGUAAUCUAAGUCUUUUCCUCCAUAUUUAAUUAGUUCUGCUGUAAUUUGGUCCUCUCCUGGUGCUUUGUGAUUCUUCGUGGUCCUAAUUAUUUCUGAUGUUUCAAUGAGUGUUGGUUCUCUAAGGGAUCUGGUCCUCCAAUGUGACAGUUCAUAUACUUCAUUGUCCCCUCAAAGUAUUCAGCCCAUUCCACAAUCAAAGAAUUUAAAUAAUUCAACCGUUUUACUAGAAAUAGUUUUACCUUGAAUUUCAGCAAAGGAAAAUGUCAAAAUCUGUUUUCACUUGCUUGCCUGGAAAAAUGGGAAAGUUUUGUUUGAAAAGAUUUAGCAUUCACAUACAUUUCAUGUGCAUUACCUCCGAAGAAAAAAAAGUUUGAGUCUUCCACUCUUCAUUAGAAAUAUUAGUAGCAAGUCAUAGUCAAUGUCCUUCAAGGAACAUAACAAUUUCUUCCUUGAAAUCCUAUAUUCUUCUCAAUAUCUUGUCCAUGCUAAGCCAGCGGACACUACUGUGGUACCGAACAUUGGAAUGUUUUAUUUCCAAAUCUUCAAGUACUUCUCUGAGUUUGAAUCUUUAACUGGAUCUUUAAAAUAUUGCAAAUAAGAAUUUAUGCUACGUUUAGUUUAGGCUUUUUAGAAUGAUGUGUAGAGACUAUUUCUUUCACCUCUUCAUCCUAACUGAUAAGAAUCAGAAAUUUCAAUAAUUUAUAUAGAUAUUUAAAAUUAGUUAUUUUUUAUAUAUUUGCAUUCUUUAUAUGUAUAAUCUAUGAGCUCACCUAAUUUCUGUAGGUAUGCGCGGGUCGCAUAAAACAGUUAGGUGGGCCUCAUGUGGCCUGUGGGCCGUAAUUUGCACACCUCUGAUCUAGUAUAUCCGAUCCAUGUCUCUUAUCUAUGAGUAUAUGAUCUAUUUGAUUCUGGGUGUUAAAUAGAGUGAGAUCCAGGUUACCUUGUGAAUACUCUCAUGUUAAAAUUUAGUGUUGCAGAUAGACAUUCCUUUUCCUGAUGCAAAAUUCACUAAUCUUAUGCCAUUAUUGUUGGACUAUUCAUGUAAGCUUUCUUUGCCAAUUGUUGGUCUGUAUGCUGGUUCUUUGCCAAUUGUUGGUCUGUAUGCUG